UACGUAGGUGACCAGCGUUGUCCGGAUUUACUGGGCGUAAAGAGCGCGCAGGCGGUCGUUCAAGUCGAGUGUGAAAGCCCCCGGCUCAACUGGGGAGGGUCAUUCGAUACUGAUCGACUCGAAGGCAGGAGAGGGAAGUGGAAUUCCCGGUGUAGUGGUGAAAUGCGUAGAUAUCGGGAGGAACACCAGUGGCGAAGGCGACUUCCUGGCCUGUUCUUGACGCUGAUGCACGAAAGCGUGGGGAGCAAACAGG
RNAcentral lists this ribosomal RNA (253 nucleotides) under uncultured bacterium. RNAcentral's name for it is "partial 16S ribosomal RNA". It matches the Rfam family "Bacterial small subunit ribosomal RNA", at positions 524 to 776 of the family's 1533-position model. The record is from RNAcentral.